CUUACCCACAUUAGAGUCACGAAGAACAUUACUCGACUUAUGUUUUAUGCAUAAGGUUUUAAACGCUACUAUAGAUUGUCCCAAGUUAUUGUCUCUUUUUAAACUUAGGGUGCCUUCCAGAUUGAAUAGACGAUCAGAAAUAUUUUCAGUUCCACAGGGAGGUAACCACAUGUGCACAUGGGACUGUGUGGUUGGCGCACAUGUGGAGUUGGGAUUGCAAAAAGCGAUUGGAACCUUGGGUUGGCGCUAAAUAGUGGGUUAGGUAGUUGUUUGAGCCCUACUUAGGGAAUGGGAUAAUAGUUAGAAAAUGGGAAUUAUAGGCACAAACACGCGGGGCUCCCCCUCAAUUAAAUUAAUAAUAACUAUUUUUUAACACCUGAUAAAUGUGUUUUGUUCAUGUAAUAUAAAAUCUAACUAUAUUAUGUCUUUAUUAUCUAAAAUUGAGUCCACAGCCAACCCCUCCAACUAAAAAGUGUUCCAGGCAAAACCAAAAAAUACUACUGGGGACGUAGUGAAGCCACUGCCAUUUUUGUCAAUAAGGUUGUUGUUUUAUUUUUCUUGUGUGUAAUUUACAAAUUAUGUAAUUAAAAGGGGUAUAAAGCGAUAAAAAAUUAUAUAAAUUUACAAUAAUAACCCCCAAAAAGUUCCAAAAUUGCCCCAAUAUAUAUAUUUUUUAACUAUAGCAAAAUCAAGAGCUAAAAAACCUUGUGCAAGUUGGCAAUAAUAUGUAUUUAACAUGUCCCUUUAACUUUACCGGACCCCAUGGUCCAUUGGAGCCAUCCUUCAAAAUGGUGAAGUUCUAUGCUGUUAAAAGCAUUUUAGGACAUUCAAUAUAGUGACUGCACCAUAUAAAUUUUAGGUAUCUUAUAAUUUUAGUGUAGUCCGCAUUAUUUAAUACGAUAUAAUAUAAUAUUACAUUCUGUGUACCUUAAGUAUGAAACGUUAACCGUAGGUCAUCUUUCUGACAUAUUACUUUUAUUUUAUUGUACUACUUGGGGAAAGCCCUGUUUGUACCUUGCAUAGUAAAUAAAUAAAAACAUUCAAUG
Molecule: long non-coding RNA, 1046 nt
Organism: Anthonomus grandis grandis
Lineage: Eukaryota; Metazoa; Arthropoda; Insecta; Coleoptera; Curculionidae
Exons: 2
Source: RefSeq, a predicted model, not a curated record